This 492-nucleotide ribosomal RNA is filed under the name uncultured bacterium. Its description in RNAcentral is "partial 16S ribosomal RNA". It matches the Rfam family "Bacterial small subunit ribosomal RNA", at positions 29 to 507 of the family's 1533-position model. The record is from RNAcentral.
AGUGAACGCUGGCGGUAGGCCUAACACAUGCAAGUCGAACGGCAGCACAGUAAGAGCUUGCUCUUACGGGUGGCGAGUGGCGGACGGGUGAGGAAUACAUCGGAAUCUACUUUUUCGUGGGGGAUAACGUAGGGAAACUUACGCUAAUACCGCAUACGACCUACGGGUGAAAGCAGGGGAUCUUCGGACCUUGCGCGAUUGAAUGAGCCGAUGUCGGAUUAGCUAGUUGGCGGGGUAACGGCCCACCAAGGCGACGAUCCGUAGCUGGUCUGAGAGGAUGAUCAGCCACACUGGAACUGAGACACGGUCCAGACUCCUACGGGAGGCAGCAGUAGGGAAUAUUGGCCAAUGCGCGCAAGCCUGAUCCAGCCAUACCGCGUGGGUGAAGAAGGCCUUCGGGUUGUAAAGCCCUUUUGUUGGGAAAGAAAAGCAGCAGGUUAAUACCCCGCUGUUCUGACGGUACCCAAAGAAUAAGCACCGGCUAACUUCGUG